RNAcentral lists this transfer RNA (58 nucleotides) under Trichuris arvicolae. RNAcentral's name for it is "tRNA-Val". The record is from RNAcentral. Lineage: Eukaryota; Metazoa; Nematoda; Enoplea; Trichinellida; Trichuridae.
CAGGGUAUAGUAUAAAAUUUUGUAUAUUUUACUUACAAUAAAAAGGUUUUAACUCUGA